UACGUAGGGUGCGAGCGUUAAUCGGAAUUACUGGGCGUAAAGCGUGCGCAGGCCGCCGUGCAUGUCGAGUGUGAAAGCCCCGAGCUUAACUUGGGAACUGCGCUCGAAACUACUUGGCUAGAGUGUGGCAGAGGGAGGUGGAAUUCCACGUGUAGCGGUGAAAUGCGUAGAGAUCGGAAAGAACACCAACGGCGAAAGCACUCUGCUGGGCCGACACUGACACUGAGAGACGAAAGCUAGGGGAGCGAAUGGG
RNAcentral lists this ribosomal RNA (253 nucleotides) under uncultured bacterium. Its description in RNAcentral is "partial 16S ribosomal RNA". It matches the Rfam family "Bacterial small subunit ribosomal RNA", at positions 524 to 776 of the family's 1533-position model. The record is from RNAcentral.